GAUGAACGCUGGCGGCGUGCCUAAUACAUGCCAGUCGAGCGAACAGACGAGGAGCUUGCUCCUCUGACGUUAGCGGCGGACGGGUGAGUAACACGUGGAUAACCUACCUAUAAGACUGGGAUAACUUCGGGAAACCGGAUCUAAUACCGGAUAAUAUAUUGAACCGCAUGGUUCAAUAGUGAAAGACGGUUUUGCUGUCACUUAUAGAUGGAUCCGCGCCGCAUUAGCUAGUUGGUAAGGUAACGGCUUACCAAGGCAACGAUGCGUAGCCGACCUGAGAGGGUGAUCGGCCACACUGGAACUGAGACACGGUCCAGACUCCUACGGGAGGCAGCAGUAGGGAAUAUUCCGCAAUGGGCGAAAGCCUGACGGAGCAACGCCGCGUGAGUGAUGAAGGUCUUCGGAUCGUAAAACUCUGUUAUUAGGGAAGAACAAAUGUGAAAGUAACUAUGCACGUCUUGACGGUACCUAAUGAGAAAGCCACGGCUAACUACGUG
RNAcentral lists this ribosomal RNA (497 nucleotides) under uncultured bacterium. RNAcentral's name for it is "partial 16S ribosomal RNA". It matches the Rfam family "Bacterial small subunit ribosomal RNA", at positions 28 to 507 of the family's 1533-position model. The record is from RNAcentral.